GCCAGACUCCUACGGGAGGCAGCAGUGGGGAAUAUUGCACAAUGGGGGAAACCCUGAUGCAGCGACGCCGCGUGAGUGAAGAAGUAUUUCGGUAUGUAAGGCUCUAUCAGCAGGAACGAGACAAGACGGUACCUGACUAAGAAGCCCCGGCUAACUACGUGCCAGCAGCCGCGGUAAUACGUAGGGGGCAAGCGUUAUCCGGAAUCACUGGGUGUAAAGGGAGCGUAGACGGCUGUGCAAGCCUGAAGUGAAAGGCGGGGGCCCAACCCCUGGACUGCUUUGGGAACUGUACGGCUGGAGUGCAGGAGAGGUAAGUGGAAUUCCUAGUGUAGCGGUGAAAUGCGUAGAUAUUAGGAGGAACACCAGUGGCGAAGGCGGCUUACUGGACUGUAACUGACGUUGAGGCUCGAAGGCGUGGGGAGCAAACAGGAUUAGAUACCCCGGUAUA
RNAcentral lists this ribosomal RNA (448 nucleotides) under uncultured bacterium. RNAcentral's name for it is "bacterial SSU rRNA". It matches the Rfam family "Bacterial small subunit ribosomal RNA", at positions 330 to 794 of the family's 1533-position model. The record is from RNAcentral.